Molecule: unclassified non-coding RNA, 345 nt
Filed under: soil metagenome
Description: partial contains 5.8S ribosomal RNA, internal transcribed spacer 2, and large subunit ribosomal RNA
Rfam family: 5.8S ribosomal RNA (bases 1-120)
Source: RNAcentral
GAUGAAGAACGUAGCGAAAUGCGAUGCGUAAUGUGAAUUGCAGAAUUCAGUGAAUCAUCGAGUCUUUGAACGCACAUUGCGCCCCCUGGUAUUCCGGGGGGCAUGCCUGUCCGAGCGUCAUUGCUGCCCUCAAGCACGGCUUGUGUGUUGGGCCUCCGUCCUCCUCCCGGGGGACGGGCCCGAAAGGCAGCGGCGGCACCGCGUCCGGUCCUCGAGCGUAUGGGGCUUCGUCACCCGCUCUUGUAGGCCCGGCCGGCGCUUGCCGACACAUCAAUCUUUUUUCCAGGUUGACCUCGGAUCAGGUAGGGAUACCCGCUGAACUUAAGCAUAUCAAUAAGCGGAGGA